This 201-nucleotide ribosomal RNA is filed under the name Polystigma pusillum. RNAcentral describes it as "partial 18S ribosomal RNA". The record is from RNAcentral. Lineage: Eukaryota; Fungi; Ascomycota; Sordariomycetes; Phyllachorales; Phyllachoraceae.
CCGGAAGUAAAAGCGUAACAAGUUUCGUAGUGAACUGCGGAGGAUCAUUGUUGAUUCCUCCCAAGCAGUGCACUCGUGAAUUGUUAUUUACUCCGGGGGUUAUGCUGUCUCACGUCUCAACCUUGCACUUCCAAAGGGGCUGGGAAAAAUAAAAAAAGUAACAAGGUCUCCGUUGGUGAACCAGCGGAAGGAGGAUCAUUA